RNAcentral lists this ribosomal RNA (646 nucleotides) under uncultured Bacteroidota bacterium. RNAcentral describes it as "bacterial SSU rRNA". It matches the Rfam family "Bacterial small subunit ribosomal RNA", at positions 140 to 784 of the family's 1533-position model. Lineage: Bacteria; Pseudomonadati; Bacteroidota. The record is from RNAcentral.
ACGAUAACCUUGCGAAAGUAAGACUAAUACCCAAUGAUAUCUCAAGAAGACAUCUGAAUGAGAUUAAAGAUUUAUCGGUGAUGGAUGGGGAUGCGUCUGAUUAGCUUGUUGGCGGGGUAACGGCCCACCAAGGCGACGAUCAGUAGGGGUUCUGAGAGGAAGGUCCCCCACAUUGGAACUGAGACACGGUCCAAACUCCUACGGGAGGCAGCAGUGAGGAAUAUUGGUCAAUGGACGAGAGUCUGAACCAGCCAAGUAGCGUGCAGGAUGACGGCCCUAUGGGUUGUAAACUGCUUUUAUAAGGGAAUAAAGUGAGCCUCGUGAGGCUUUUUGCAUGUACCUUAUGAAUAAGGACCGGCUAAUUCCGUGCCAGCAGCCGCGGUAAUACGGAAGGUCCGGGCGUUAUCCGGAUUUAUUGGGUUUAAAGGGAGCGUAGGCCGGAGAUUAAGCGUGUUGUGAAAUGUAGAUGCUCAACAUCUGCACUGCAGCGCGAACUGGUUUCCUUGAGUACGCACAAAGUUGGCGGAAUUCGUGGUGUAGCGGUGAAAUGCUUAGAUAUCACGAAGAACUCCGAUUGCGAAGGCAGCUCACUGGAGCGCAACUGACGCUGAAGCUCGAAAGUGCGGGUAACGAACAGGAUUAGAUA